CUUGACCGAGCCGAGCCACACCGGGUCGUCCGGGUCCCGGUCCUGCCCGUAGGUGGCCAGCAGGGCGCCGGCCUC
RNAcentral lists this antisense RNA (75 nucleotides) under Streptomyces sp. PAN_FS17. RNAcentral describes it as "ASpks TB sRNA". It matches the Rfam family "ASpks TB sRNA". RNAcentral also lists the same sequence under 1 other name. Lineage: Bacteria; Bacillati; Actinomycetota; Actinomycetes; Kitasatosporales; Streptomycetaceae. The record is from Rfam by way of RNAcentral.